CAAUAAGGCGGUUUUGUUACAAGAGAUCAUUACCGUGUUUGCGAACAUCACGAGGAAAUAUGUGAAGAACCCCGUUCGAAGUUUUAGGGUUGAAGAAUGUGAUACUAAUAAGGUGUAUAAAGAUCAAUGUAAUCAAAC
Molecule: long non-coding RNA, 138 nt
Organism: Papaver somniferum (opium poppy)
Lineage: Eukaryota; Viridiplantae; Streptophyta; Magnoliopsida; Ranunculales; Papaveraceae
Exons: 3
Source: RefSeq, a predicted model, not a curated record